UGGGGAAUUGUUCGCAAUGGGCGCAAGCCUGACGACGCAACGCCGCGUGGAGGACGAAGAUCUUCGGGUCGUAAACUCCUGUCGAGCGGGACGAACGCUUCGCGGAUGAAUACUCCGCGGAAUUGACGGUACCGCUAAAGGAAGCCCCGGCUAACUCCGUGCCAGCAGCCGCGGUAAUACGGGGGGGGCAAGCGUUGUUCGGAAUUACUGGGCGUAAAGGGCUCGUAGGCGGCCAACUCAGUCGGACGUGAAAUCCCCAGGCUCAACCUGGGAACUGCGUCCGAUACUGGAUGGCUUGAAUCCGGGAGAGGGAUGCAGAAUUCCAGGUGUAGCGGUGAAAUGCGUAGAUAUCUGGAGGAAUACCGGUGGCGAAGGCGGCAUCCUGGACCGGCAUUGACGCUGAGGAGCGAAAGCCAGGGGAGCAAACGGGAUUAGAUACCCCGGUAGUCCUGGCCCUAAACGAUGAAUGCUUGGUGUGACGGGUAUCGAUCCCUGUCGUGCUGAAGCUAACGCAUUAAGCAUUCCGCCUGGGGAGUACGGUCGCAAGGCUGA
RNAcentral lists this ribosomal RNA (552 nucleotides) under uncultured Acidobacteriota bacterium. RNAcentral describes it as "bacterial SSU rRNA". It matches the Rfam family "Bacterial small subunit ribosomal RNA", at positions 355 to 897 of the family's 1533-position model. The record is from RNAcentral. Lineage: Bacteria; Pseudomonadati; Acidobacteriota.